Molecule: small nucleolar RNA, 131 nt
Filed under: Dasypus novemcinctus (nine-banded armadillo)
Lineage: Eukaryota; Metazoa; Chordata; Mammalia; Cingulata; Dasypodidae
Description: Small nucleolar RNA SNORA31 (ENSDNOG00000044081.1)
Rfam family: Small nucleolar RNA SNORA31
About the family: ACA31 (SNORA31) belongs to the H/ACA class of snoRNAs which are thought to guide the sites of modification of uridines to pseudouridines.
Source: RNAcentral
AUGCAUCUCUGACAUCCUUGGAGAAGUUAUGUCUGCUGCCAAGGUUUCCACAAUAGAUGCAAGAAAAAGAAGUUCUCGCGCUUUCAGUCUGUCUGAUUGUGGCAGUCAAGAUUGAAUGGGGGAAUACAGGA